RNAcentral lists this transfer RNA (88 nucleotides) under Nevskiaceae bacterium. RNAcentral describes it as "Sinobacteraceae bacterium tRNA-Ser". It matches the Rfam family "tRNA". From Rfam's summary of the family: Transfer RNA (tRNA) molecules are approximately 80 nucleotides in length. Their secondary structure includes four short double-helical elements and three loops (D, anti-codon, and T loops). The record is from RNAcentral. Lineage: Bacteria; Pseudomonadati; Pseudomonadota; Gammaproteobacteria; Nevskiales; Nevskiaceae.
GGAGAGGUGGCAGAGUGGUCUAUUGCGGCGGUCUUGAAAACCGCUGAAUCGAAAGGUUCCGGGGGUUCGAAUCCCUCCCUCUCCGCCA